RNAcentral lists this long non-coding RNA (566 nucleotides) under Gossypium barbadense (sea-island cotton). Its description in RNAcentral is "long non-coding RNA (GBAR_LNC012612)". The record is from RNAcentral. Lineage: Eukaryota; Viridiplantae; Streptophyta; Magnoliopsida; Malvales; Malvaceae.
AAAAAUAAACUGAAACAAAAUUACAAAAUCAAUAUGGAUCUUCCUAUAAUGCGUGUAAACAUAUAAGGGUCAAUGCUGGAAAUAUUCUAAACCUCCAAAACAUUCUGAUUAAGUAGGAAUCCAAUUACAAAUACAUUCAAAAUACCAGUCCAAAUAAGAAAUAAGCACAUAAUUUAACUGAAUAAUAGCGUGAAAGAAGAAGGAUCCAUGGCGAAAUUAUCCUUCUCCACGAAAAGGCGCGGAUCCUGGGGAGAGAGGAAUUGGAUCGGGCCAGGCAAGCUUAAAUGGCGUCGUUUCAAGGCUACAAUUCCAUGCCUUGAACGUCGUCGUUUCACGGUGCUGUUUAAAAGUGAAAAAAAAAGAGAAAAAAACAGCUUCAAAAGCUUAUUUCAGCAGAGCCAAACGAAAAGGGGAAAAGAAAACCCUAAGGGUUUGCUCACAUUCAAUCGCCACUUUCAACAUCAAAAUUGAUGAAGGGCGCCGCUUGAUUUCCUUCUCCACACAACGCCGAUUCUUCCUCAAAUCACAGCCAACAGACGUGGCCCUCUAAUGAUGAUCUUCGGCCU